RNAcentral lists this ribosomal RNA (468 nucleotides) under uncultured bacterium. Its description in RNAcentral is "partial 16S ribosomal RNA". It matches the Rfam family "Bacterial small subunit ribosomal RNA", at positions 28 to 507 of the family's 1533-position model. The record is from RNAcentral.
GACGAACGCUGGCGGCGUGCUUAACACAUGCAAGUCGAACGGAAAGGCCCUGCUUUUGUGGGGUGCUCGAGUGGCGAACGGGUGAGUAACACGUGAGUAACCUGCCCUUGACUUUGGGAUAACUUCAGGAAACUGGGGCUAAUACCGGAUAGGAGCUCCUGCUGCAUGGUGGGGGUUGGAAAGUUUCGGCGGUUGGGGAUGGACUCGCGGCUUAUCAGCUUGUUGGUGGGGUAGUGGCUUACCAAGGCUUUGACGGGUAGCCGGCCUGAGAGGGUGACCGGCCACCUUGGGCCUGAGGUACGGCCCAGACUCCUACGGGAGGCAGCAGUGGGGAAUAUUGCACAAUGGGCGGAAGCCUGAUGCAGCAACGCCGCGUGCGUGAUGACGGCCUUCGGGUUGUAAACCGCUUUCGCCUGUGACGAAGCGUGAGUGACGGUAAUGGGUAAAGAAGCACCGGCUAACUACGUG